AUUAAUAAUUAAUAUAUUUAAUAAAAAUAAUUUUAAUUUAAUAAAUAUUUUAAUGGGGGUUAAAGUAUUUUUUAAAGAAAAAAUUUUUAAAUUUAUAGUUAAUUAGUAUUGUGAAAGAAUUUUGAAAUAUUAUGAAAAAUAAAAUUUUUAUAAAGUAAUUUUUAUUUAUUGUAUCUUGUGUAUCAGAGUUUAUUAAAAAUUUUUAAUUUAUAAAUUAAUUUCUCGAAUUUAAAAGAGUUAAAUAAUUAUUAAAGUUAUUGUAGCAAAAUUAUUUUAAAUAAUUAUUUAGAAAUGAAAUGUUAAUCGUUUUUAAAUAUAUCUAGUUUUUAAAGAAAAAAAUUUAAUUUUAAAUUUAAAAAUUAUUUAAUUAAUUUAUUAAUUAAAUAAUUAUUUAAAUUUUAUAAUUUAAGGGAUAAGCUUUAAAUUAAAUUUUUAUAAUAUUAAAUUUUUAUUUUGAAAAUUUUAUAAUUUAUAUUGUUAAUAAAUUUUAUUUUGUUAUAAAUAAUUUCAUUUUUUUUAAAAUUUAAAUUUUAUUUAAUUUUUUAUAUAAAAUUUAUUUAUAAUUAUAUAAAGUUAAUUAUAAUGAUAAAAUUAGUAUAUUAUUUAAUAUUAAAUUAAAAUUAAUUUUUGAUUAAUAAUUAAAUUAAUUAAAAGGAAUUCGGCAAAUAUUUAUUUUCACUUGUUUAUCAAAAACAUGUCUUUUUGUUAUUUAAUUUAAAGUCUAAUCUGCCCACUGAUUUAUAAAAAUUGAAGGGCUGCAGUAUAUUGACUGUACAAAGGUAGCAUAAUCAUUAGUCUCUUAAUUGGUGACUUGUAUGAAAGAUUGGAUGAAAAAUAUACUGUCUCUUAAUUAAUAUAUAGAAUUUAAUUUUUUAUUUAAAAAGUUAAAAUAAUUUAAAAAGACGAGAAGACCCUAUAGAGUUUAAUAAAUUAUUUUAUGGAAGUUUUAUUUAUAUUUACUAAUAAUUUUAUAAAUUUAUUUAUUUUGUUGGGGUGAUAAAAAAAUAAAUUUAACUUUUUUUAAGUAAUUUACAUGAAUAAGUGAUUAAU
RNAcentral lists this ribosomal RNA (1050 nucleotides) under Biston falcata. RNAcentral's name for it is "partial 16S ribosomal RNA". Lineage: Eukaryota; Metazoa; Arthropoda; Insecta; Lepidoptera; Geometridae. The record is from RNAcentral.